ACAGGACAAGCAGCUUCAAGUUCCUGUGGCCAUAUUGGCCCAGUGAGACAGGGCAAGCAGCUUCAAGAUCCUGAGGCCCUCCUGGUCAGAUGAGACAGGACAUGCAGGUUGAAGCUCCUGAGGUCGUCCAGGCCAGGUAUGACAGGACAAGUAGAUUCAAGCUCUUGAGGCCCUCCUGGCCCAGUGAGACAGGACAAGCAGGUUCAAGCUCCUGAGGCCCUCCUGGCCCAGUGGGACAGGACAAGCAGGUUCAAGCUCCUGAGGUCUUCCUGGCCCAGUGAGACAGGACAAGCAGCUUCAAGAUCCUGAGGCCCUCCUGGUCAGAUGAGACAGGACAUGCAGGUUGAAGCUCCUGAGGUCGUCCAGGCCAGGUAUGACAGGACAAGUAGAUUCAAGCUCUUGAGGCCCUCCUGGCCCAGUGAGACAGG
Molecule: long non-coding RNA, 428 nt
Filed under: Heterocephalus glaber (naked mole-rat)
Lineage: Eukaryota; Metazoa; Chordata; Mammalia; Rodentia; Bathyergidae
Description: lncRNA (ENSHGLG00100044851.1)
Source: RNAcentral